This 433-nucleotide ribosomal RNA is filed under the name uncultured bacterium. RNAcentral's name for it is "partial 16S ribosomal RNA". It matches the Rfam family "Bacterial small subunit ribosomal RNA", at positions 29 to 507 of the family's 1533-position model. The record is from RNAcentral.
AACGAACGCUGGCGGCAUGCCUAACACAUGCAAGUCGAACGAGACCUUCGGGUCUAGUGGCGCACGGGUGCGUAACGCGUGGGAACCUGCCCUUAGGUUCGGAAUAACUCCCCGAAAGGGGUGCUAAUACCGGAUAAUGUCUUCGGACCAAAGAUUUAUCGCCUUUGGAUGGGCCCGCGUUGGAUUAGCUAGUUGGUAGGGUAAAAGCCUACCAAGGCGACGAUCCAUAGCUGGUCUGAGAGGAUGAUCAGCCACACUGGGACUGAGACACGGCCCAGACUCCUAAGGGAGGCAGGAGGGGGGAAUAAUGGAAAAAGGGGGAAAGGCUGAUCCAGCAAAGGCGGGGGAGGGAUGAAGGGCUUAGGGUUGGAAAGCCCUUUUAACCGGGAAGAUAAUGACAGUACCGGGAGAAUAAGCUCCGGCUAACUCCGUG